AGCGGUAACAGCUCAAAUUUGAAAUCUGGGUCUUUCAGGCUCCGAGUUGUAAUUUGUAGAAGAUGCUUCGGGUGCGGCGCCGGUCUAAGUCCCUUGGAACAGGGCGUCACAGAGGGUGAGAAUCCCGUAUGUGAUCGGUUGCCUGUGCCCGUGUGAAGCUCUUUCGACGAGUCGAGUUGUUUGGGAAUGCAGCUCUAAAUGGGUGGUAAAUUUCAUCUAAAGCUAAAUAUUGGCCAGAGACCGAUAGCGCACAAGUAGAGUGAUCGAAAGAUGAAAAGCACUUUGGAAAGAGAGUUAAACAGUACGUGAAAUUGUUGAAAGGGAAGCGCUUGCAACCAGACUUGCGCGUUGUCGAUCAUCCGGGGUUCUCCCCGGUGCACUCGACCUCGCUCAGGCCAGCAUCGGUUUCGGUGGUUGGAUAAAGGCCUUGGGAAUGUAGCUUCCUUCGGGGAGUGUUAUAGCCCUCGGUGCAAUGCAGCCUACCGGGACCGAGGACCGCGCUUCGGCUAGGAUGCUGGCGUAAUGGUUGUAAGCGACCCGUCUUGAAACACGGACCAAGGAGUCUAACAUCUAUGCGAGUGUUUGGGUGUCAAACCCAUACGCGUAAUGAAAGUGAACGGAGGUGAGAACCCUUAAGGGUGCAUCAUCGACCGAUCCUGAUGUCUUCGGAUGGAUUUGAGUAAGAGCAUAGCUGUUGGGACCCGAAAGAUGGUGAACUAUGCCUGAAUAGGGUGAAGCCAGAGGAAACUCUGGUGGAGGCUCGCAGCGGUUCUGACGUGCAAAUCGAUCGUCAAAUUUGGGUAUAGGGGCGAAAGACUAAUCG
Molecule: ribosomal RNA, 823 nt
Filed under: Pezicula sp. 7 CC-2015
Lineage: Eukaryota; Fungi; Ascomycota; Leotiomycetes; Helotiales; Dermateaceae
Description: eukaryotic LSU rRNA
Rfam family: Eukaryotic large subunit ribosomal RNA
Source: RNAcentral